ACCUGGCUGGCUCAGUUGGUAGAGCUUGUGACUCUUGAUCUCAGGGUUGUGAGUUCGAGGCCCACACUGGAUG
Non-coding RNA from Canis lupus familiaris (dog), 73 nucleotides. Lineage: Eukaryota; Metazoa; Chordata; Mammalia; Carnivora; Canidae. The record is from Rfam.